CUCGUGUAGGCAGUCGGUGACUGUCGGGCUCAUAACCCGAAGGUCGUCGGUUCAAAUCCGGCCCCCGCAACCA
Molecule: transfer RNA, 73 nt
Filed under: Escherichia coli
Lineage: Bacteria; Pseudomonadati; Pseudomonadota; Gammaproteobacteria; Enterobacterales; Enterobacteriaceae
Description: tRNA-Met
Rfam family: tRNA (bases 6-63)
About the family: Transfer RNA (tRNA) molecules are approximately 80 nucleotides in length. Their secondary structure includes four short double-helical elements and three loops (D, anti-codon, and T loops).
Source: RNAcentral